RNAcentral lists this ribosomal RNA (460 nucleotides) under uncultured bacterium. Its description in RNAcentral is "partial 16S ribosomal RNA". It matches the Rfam family "Bacterial small subunit ribosomal RNA", at positions 338 to 795 of the family's 1533-position model. The record is from RNAcentral.
CCUACGGGAGGCAGCAGUGAGGAAUAUUGGUCAAUGUACGAGAGUCUGAACCAUCCAAGUAGCGUGAAGGAUGACUGCCCUAUGGGUUGUAAACUUCUUUUAUAUGGGAAUAAAAUGUUCCACGUUUGGGAUUUUGUAUGUACCAUAUUACUAAGGAUCGGAUAACUCCGUGCCAUCAGCCGCGUUCCUACGGAGGAUCCGAGCUUUAUCCGGAUUUAUUGGGUUUGAAGGGAGCGUAGGUGGAUUGUUAAGUCAGUUGUGAAAGUUUGCGGCUCAACCGUAAAAUUGCAGUUGAAACUGGCAGUCUUGAGUACAGUAGAGGUGGGCGGAAUUCGUGGUGUAGCGGUGAAAUGCUUAGAUAUCACGAAGAACUCCGAUUGCGAAGGCAGCUCACUGGACUGCAACUGACACUGAGGCUCGAAAGUGUGGGUAUCAAACAGGAUUAGAUACCCCAGUAGUC